CGGGAUAAUAUAUUUGAGAGGCAUCUCUUGAAUAUCAAAGGUGAGCCAGUACAGGAUGGACCCGCGUCUGAUUAGCUAGUUGGUAAGGUAACGGCUUACCAAGGCGACGAUCAGUAGCCGACCUGAGAGGGGGAUCGGCCACAUUGGAACUGAGACACGGUCCAAACUCCUACGGGAGGCAGCAGUGGGGAAUAUUGCACAAUGGGCGAAAGCCUGAUGCAGCAACGCCGCGUGAGUGAUGAAGGCCUUCGGGUCGUAAAACUCUGUCCUCAAGGAAGAUAAUGACGGUACUUGAGGAGGAAGCCCCGGCUAACUACGUGCCAGCAGCCGCGGUAAUACGUAGGGGGCUAGCGUUAUCCGGAUUUACUGGGCGUAAAGGGUGCGUAGGCGGUCUUUCAAGUCAGGAGUGAAAGGCUACGGCUCAACCGUAGUAAGCUCUUGAAACUGGGAGACUUGAGUGCAGGAGAGGAGAGUGGAAUUCCUAGUGUAGCGGUGAAAUGCGUAGAUAUUAGGAGGAACACCAGUUGCGAAGGCGGCUCUCUGGACUGUAACUGACGCUGAGGCACGAAAGCGUGG
This 576-nucleotide ribosomal RNA is filed under the name Clostridioides difficile. RNAcentral's name for it is "bacterial SSU rRNA". It matches the Rfam family "Bacterial small subunit ribosomal RNA", at positions 169 to 764 of the family's 1533-position model. Lineage: Bacteria; Bacillati; Bacillota; Clostridia; Peptostreptococcales; Peptostreptococcaceae. The record is from RNAcentral.